RNAcentral lists this ribosomal RNA (505 nucleotides) under uncultured bacterium. Its description in RNAcentral is "partial 16S ribosomal RNA". It matches the Rfam family "Bacterial small subunit ribosomal RNA", at positions 28 to 507 of the family's 1533-position model. The record is from RNAcentral.
GACGAACGCUGGCGGCGUGCCUAAUACAUGCAAGUAGAACGCACGGAUUAUACCGUAGCUUGCUACACCAUAGACUGUGAGUUGCGAACGGCUGAUUAACGCGUAGGUAACCUGCCUGGGAGCGGGGGGUAACUAUUGGGAACGAUAGCUAAUAUCGCAUGAUAUUCAUUAUUCCAUGAUAAUUAAUUGAAAUGUGCAAUUUCACCACUACCACAUGGACCUGCGUUGUAUUAGAUAGUAGGUGAGGUAACGGCCCACCUAGGGGACGGUACAGAGCCGAACCUGGAGGGGGGUCCGGCCACAUGGGAACGGGACACGGCCCCGAAUCCUACGGGAGGCAGCCGUAAGGAAUCUUCGGCAAUAGACGAAAGUCCGGACGGGCCAAGCCGCGUGAGUGAAGAAGGUUUUCGGAUCGUAAAGCUCUGUUGUAAGGGAAGAACGGGUGUGGGAGUGGAAAGUUCACACUGUGACGGUAUCUUACCAGAAAGGGACGGCUAACUACGUG